This 73-nucleotide transfer RNA is filed under the name Xenopus tropicalis (tropical clawed frog). RNAcentral's name for it is "tRNA-Arg (TCT) (tRNA-Arg-TCT-39-1, tRNA-Arg-TCT-39-2)". It matches the Rfam family "tRNA". Rfam says of the family: Transfer RNA (tRNA) molecules are approximately 80 nucleotides in length. Lineage: Eukaryota; Metazoa; Chordata; Amphibia; Anura; Pipidae. The record is from RNAcentral.
GGCUCUGUGGCGCAAUGGAUAGCGCAUUGGACUUCUAAUUCAAAGGUUGUGGGUUAGAAUCCCAUCAGAGUCG